RNAcentral lists this ribosomal RNA (253 nucleotides) under uncultured bacterium. RNAcentral describes it as "partial 16S ribosomal RNA". It matches the Rfam family "Bacterial small subunit ribosomal RNA", at positions 524 to 776 of the family's 1533-position model. The record is from RNAcentral.
UACGGGGGGGGCAAGCGUUGUUCGGAAUUACUGGGCGUAAAGGGCUCGUAGGCGGCCAACUAAGUCGGACGUGAAAUCCCCAGGCUUAACCUGGGAACUGCGUCUGAUACUGGAUGGCUUGAAUUCGGGAGAGGGAUGCAGAAUUCCAGGUGUAGCGGUGAAAUGCGUAGAUAUCUGGAGGAAUACCGGUGGCGAAGGCGGCAUCCUGGACCGAGAUUGACACUGAUGAGCGAAAGCUAGGGGAGCAAACGGG